GUGGGGAAUCUUGCGCAAUGGGCGAAAGCCUGACGCAGCCAUGCCGCGUGAAUGAUGAAGGUCUUAGGAUUGUAAAAUUCUUUCACCGGGGACGAUAAUGACGGUACCCGGAGAAGAAGCUCCGGCUAACUUCGUGCCAGCAGCCGCGGUAAUACGAAGGGGGCUAGCGUUGCUCGGAAUUACUGGGCGUAAAGGGCGCGUAGGCGGACAGCUUAGUCAUAGGUGAAAGCCCAGGGCUCAACCUUGGAAUUGCCUUUGAUACUGGCUGUCUUGAGUUUGGGAGAGGUGAGUGGAACUCCGAGUGUAGAGGUGAAAUUGGUAGAUAUUCGGAAGAACACCAGUGGCGAAGGCGACUCACUGGCCCAAUACUGACGCUGAGGCGCGAAAGCGUGGGGAGCAAACAGGAUUAGAAACCCCUGUAGUCC
Molecule: ribosomal RNA, 425 nt
Filed under: uncultured bacterium
Lineage: Bacteria
Description: partial 16S ribosomal RNA
Rfam family: Bacterial small subunit ribosomal RNA
Source: RNAcentral